GACGAACGCUGGCGGCGUGCUUAACACAUGCAAGUCGAACGGAAAGGCCCUGCUUUUGUGGGGUGCUCGAGUGGCGAACGGGUGAGUAACACGUGAGUAACCUGCCCUUGACUUUGGGAUAACUUCAGGAAACUGGGGCUAAUACCGGAUAGGAGCUCCUGCUGCAUGGUGGGGGUUGGAAAGUUUCGGCGGUUGGGGAUGGACUCGCGGCUUAUCAGCUUGUUGGUGGGGUAGUGGCUUACCAAGGCUUUGACGGGUAGCCGGCCUGAGAGGGUGACCGGCCACAUUGGGACUGAGAUACGGCCCAGACUCCUACGGGAGGCAGCAGUGGGGAAUAUUGCACAAUGGGCGGAAGCCUUAUGCAGCAACGCCGCGUGCGGGAUGAUGGCCUUCGGGUUGUAAACCGCUUUCGCCUGUGACGAAGCGUGAGUGACGGUAAUGGGUAAAGAAGCACCGGCUAACUACGUG
RNAcentral lists this ribosomal RNA (468 nucleotides) under uncultured bacterium. RNAcentral's name for it is "partial 16S ribosomal RNA". It matches the Rfam family "Bacterial small subunit ribosomal RNA", at positions 28 to 507 of the family's 1533-position model. The record is from RNAcentral.